GGAUGCUCUCAGGUCCUUCCGGCACCAUCUACCCUUUUGCCUGGCUGGACACACUCCCAGGACCUGGUGGCUCCCUAUUGCAGGCACUCUAAAAAAACAUGUCUAGCCCCGGGUCCAGACAGGCUCACAGCACUAAUGUAGCUUUUCCAUUUUUCCUGGAAACUUCUAUAGCUGCAGCCUGGAAAGCAUCCAAAAGUUUCCCCGAACUAAAGAUAACAACAACAACAAUAAGUUUUUAAACAUUUAGAGAGGCGAUGGAAGAGAGACCCUAAGGCAAAUGUCCCUGUUGAUUACUGCUCAGCAGAACAGAUUCCGACGGUAGGGACAGAAAAGGGAGGAAGUUUCCAGGUCAAUUUAAACAUUCACAUUGCUUUUUUCAAAGACAGUUUCAAAACAGUCGACCUCCCUGGGGCAAUUUAAAAAAAAAAAAAUCUAUCCAGAAGGCAAAAGCUUCGCCCUUUCUCUCCUCCCUCAAUCUGGAAAGUUUUCUCAGCAGAGGCCAAGCGCAUUCCUGAGUUCUGGCUCAGGGAAGGACUUUCCCAACCUUCCAACAUUCCCGGCCCUCGCUCACCCUGCUGACCUACCAAGAGCUCCGCUUGCUCCACCCCAAGCAGCUGCAUUCCAGCUGUGGAGUUCUUAGGAAACUGCCAGGAGGCAGAGGGCUGCAAGAAUAGUGGCAGUGGCCUGCUGCCUGGCUCCAUGCCGGCUGGUGGUUCUGGAUUUUGAGACUCUGUGCCUUUUCACUAGGACUGACGGCCACCCAGACACACCGCAACAAUGAAUAGCCGUGGGGAUGAUUUGGGAGUCCAUCCUCAUCUACAGCCCUGCUAUCCCAAAUGUGCUCCAUCUUAGCAGCUAAGCAGGGUUGGGCCUCGUCAGGACAAGGAUGAGAGACUCCAUUCUCCGAAGAGAGGUGCCUUCUGCAGUCUUCCAUCAACUCCAGGGCCUGAAAGAACCUGUCCUCUAUCUUUGUUGCCCAAGCUGAUGUCAUGUUCUAAGGGACUGGAUUUGCUAAGCUGCAACAAGAUGCCUCUUCAGAAGGACCCAGAUUGCCUGCAGUGUGAGGCGGGGACCUGAGAAACAAGGCAAGGACCGGCAACUACUCUCCCUAAGAUGGAGGCAGCAUGAUGUAAGCGGCUGGCUAAAAUAUCUGGCAUGCUUGCAGUUUUAAGUUGCCAGCUAAAUAUUAUUAAAAAGAUAAAAUACACGCAAA
Long non-coding RNA from Peromyscus leucopus (white-footed mouse), 1213 nucleotides. RefSeq lists it as uncharacterized. The transcript is spliced from 3 exons. The record is from RefSeq and is a predicted model, not a curated record. Lineage: Eukaryota; Metazoa; Chordata; Mammalia; Rodentia; Cricetidae.